GAAGCGCGCCGGACCGCCGCUGGUGCGAUCUGGGAAACCAGGCACUGGAGGAACGUCCGGACUGCACAGGACAGCGCAGGAGUUAACGACUCUCCACCGCGAGGUGAGGAUCAGAGCAACAGAGACGAGUCGGCGACGGGGCAACCCGGAGUCGGGUGAAACGGGCAAUCUCUGCGCGCAGCAACACCAAAUAGGCCAGCGCACGGAGCGAGCGGUACGCCGCGAGCUCCUGAUCCCGUGGUUCCGCGGAUGGCUGGCGGGUAGGUGGCACCGAGCCGUCGGGUGACCGGCGGCCCAGAUUAAUGGCGGUCACGCCGGCGGAUUCGAAAGAAGACGCCGGUGCACAGAAUCCGGCUUACAGGCGCGCUUCACAC
Molecule: RNase P RNA, 374 nt
Filed under: Variovorax sp.
Lineage: Bacteria; Pseudomonadati; Pseudomonadota; Betaproteobacteria; Burkholderiales; Comamonadaceae
Description: RNase P RNA component class A
Rfam family: Bacterial RNase P class A
About the family: Ribonuclease P (RNase P) is a ubiquitous endoribonuclease, found in archaea, bacteria and eukarya as well as chloroplasts and mitochondria. Its best characterised activity is the generation of mature 5'-ends of tRNAs by cleaving the 5'-leader elements of precursor-tRNAs.
Source: RNAcentral